RNAcentral lists this non-coding RNA (199 nucleotides) under Acyrthosiphon pisum (pea aphid). Its description in RNAcentral is "Eukaryotic small subunit ribosomal RNA". It matches the Rfam family "Eukaryotic small subunit ribosomal RNA", at positions 1649 to 1831 of the family's 1831-position model. Lineage: Eukaryota; Metazoa; Arthropoda; Insecta; Hemiptera; Aphididae. The record is from Rfam by way of RNAcentral.
GUCCCUGCCCUUUGUACACACCGCCCGUCGCUACUACCGAUUGAACGGUCGCAUUGAGGUCUUCGGAGUGGACGCGCGUUAUUCGGCCCCCUCGGGGGCUGGGUCGUCGCGCGAUCGCGAAGAUGACCGAAAUCGGCCGUUUAGAGGAAGUAAAAGUCGUAACAAGGUUUCCGUAGGUGAACCUGCGGAAGGAUCAUUA